GAUGAACGCUAGCUACAGGCUUAACACAUGCAAGUCGAGGGGCAGCAUGACGAUAGCUUGCUAUUGUUGAUGGCGACCGGCGCACGGGUGAGUAACGCGUAUCCAACCUGCCCUUGUCCAUCGGAUAACCCGUCGAAAGGCGGCCUAACACGAUAUGCAGUUCUCAGCAGGCAUCUAACGAGAACGAAAUGUGAAGGAGAAGGAUGGGGAUGCGUCUGAUUAGCUUGUUGGCGGGGUAACGGCCCACCAAGGCGACGAUCAGUAGGGGUUCUGAGAGGAAGGUCCCCCACAUUGGAACUGAGACACGGUCCAAACUCCUACGGGAGGCAGCAGUGAGGAAUAUUGGUCAAUGGGCGAGAGCCUGAACCAGCCAAGUAGCGUGCAGGAUGACGGCCCUAUGGGUUGUAAACUGCUUUUAUACGGGGAUAAAGUGGGUCUCGUGAGACUUUUUUGCAUGUACCUUAUGAAUAAGGACCGGCUAAUUCCGUGCCAG
RNAcentral lists this ribosomal RNA (493 nucleotides) under uncultured bacterium. RNAcentral's name for it is "bacterial SSU rRNA". It matches the Rfam family "Bacterial small subunit ribosomal RNA", at positions 28 to 511 of the family's 1533-position model. The record is from RNAcentral.